This 432-nucleotide ribosomal RNA is filed under the name uncultured bacterium. RNAcentral's name for it is "partial 16S ribosomal RNA". It matches the Rfam family "Bacterial small subunit ribosomal RNA", at positions 29 to 507 of the family's 1533-position model. The record is from RNAcentral.
AACGAACGCUGGCGGCAUGCCUAACACAUGCAAGUCGAACGAGACCUUCGGGUCUAGUGGCGCACGGGUGCGUACGCGUGGGAACCUGCCCUUAGGUUCGGAAUAACUCCCCGAAAGGGGUGCUAAUACCGGAUAAUGUCUUCGGACCAAAGAUUUAUCGCCUUUGGAUGGGCCCGCGUUGGAUUAGCUAGUUGGUAGGGUAAAAGCCUACCAAGGCGACGAUCCAUAGCUGGUCUGAGAGGAUGAUCAGCCACACUGGGACUGAGACACGGCCCAGACUCCUACGGGAGGCAGCAGUGGGGAAUAUUGGACAAUGGGCGAAAGCCUGAUCCAGCAAUGCCGCGUGAGUGAUGAAGGCCUUAGGGUUGUAAAGCUCUUUUACCCGGGAUGAUAAUGACAGUACCGGGAGAAUAAGCUCCGGCUAACUCCGUG